AGAGUUUGAUCCUGGCUCAGAACAAACGCUGGCGGCGUGCCUAACACAUGCAAGUCGAGCGCUGAGCACUUGUCUCUUGUAGAUAGGUGCUCGGAGCGGCGAACGGGUGAGUAAUGUAUAGGUAAUCUGCCCCGAAGACUGGGAUAACCUGUGGAAACAUGGGCUAAUACCGGAUGAUCUCUUUUCAGGGCAUCUUGGAGAGAGCAAAGGUUUCGGCCGCUUCGGGAUGAGCCUAUAUCCUAUUAGCUAGUUGGUGAGGUAACGGCUCACCAAGGCAGUGAUGGGUAGCUGGCCUGAGAGGGUGGUCAGCCACACUGGGACUGAGACACGGCCCAGACUCCUACGGGAGGCAGCAGUGAGGAAUCUUCCGCAAUGGGCGCAAGCCUGACGGAGCGACGCCGCGUGGAGGAUGAAGGCUUUCGGGUUGUAAACUCCUUUCGGCAGGGACGAAGCCGCAAGGUGACGGUACCUGCAGAA
This 477-nucleotide ribosomal RNA is filed under the name uncultured Actinomycetes bacterium. RNAcentral describes it as "bacterial SSU rRNA". It matches the Rfam family "Bacterial small subunit ribosomal RNA", at positions 8 to 486 of the family's 1533-position model. Lineage: Bacteria; Bacillati; Actinomycetota; Actinomycetes. The record is from RNAcentral.